UACGUAGGGUGCAAGCGUUGUCCGGAAUUAUUGGGCGUAAAGAGCUUGUAGGCGGUUUGUCGCGUCUGCUGUGAAAUUUCGGGGCUCAACCCCGAACUUGCAGUGGGUACGGGCAGACUAGAGUGUGGUAGGGGAGACUGGAAUUCCUGGUGUAGCGGUGGAAUGCGCAGAUAUCAGGAGGAACACCGGUGGCGAAGGCGGGUCUCUGGGCAGUAACUGACGCUGAGGUGCGAAAGCGUGGGGAGCAAACAGG
Molecule: ribosomal RNA, 253 nt
Filed under: uncultured bacterium
Lineage: Bacteria
Description: partial 16S ribosomal RNA
Rfam family: Bacterial small subunit ribosomal RNA
Source: RNAcentral